GUGCCAGCCGCCGCGGUAAUACGGAGGGCGCAAGCGUUACUCGGAAUCAUUGGGUGUAAAGAGCGUGUAGGCGGAUAAAUAAGUCAGAAGUGAAAUCCAAUAGCUUAACUAUUGAACUGCUUUUGAAACUGUUUAUCUAGAGUGUGGGAGAGGUAGAUGGAAUUUCUGGUGUAGGGGUAAAAUCCGUAGAGAUCAGAAGGAAUACCGAUUGCGAAGGCGAUUUACUGGAACAUAACUGACGCUGAGACGCGAAAGCGUGGGGAGCAAACAGGAUUAGAAACCCUUGUACC
RNAcentral lists this ribosomal RNA (290 nucleotides) under uncultured bacterium. RNAcentral describes it as "partial 16S ribosomal RNA". It matches the Rfam family "Bacterial small subunit ribosomal RNA", at positions 505 to 794 of the family's 1533-position model. The record is from RNAcentral.